UUAAAAUCGAUGAAGAGGAAAAGUAACAAAAGUAAUCCCCUUAAGCGAGCAGGGAAUGGUGGAAGCCUGUAGGGUUAGCUUUUGAGAAAAGAGCCUUGGAGAUGCUGUCGGAAACUGCUUUGCACAAGUACGAUAUGCCCCUUUUGGGUUAACAUAAUGAGUGGCUAUAUUGCCAAUUAGAGUGGUACCGCGGAAUAUUCCGUCUCUUUU
This 210-nucleotide non-coding RNA is filed under the name Fervidicella metallireducens. RNAcentral's name for it is "T-box sequence". It matches the Rfam family "T-box leader". From Rfam's summary of the family: Uncharged tRNA acts as the effector for transcription antitermination of genes in the T-box leader family. The record is from RNAcentral. Lineage: Bacteria; Bacillati; Bacillota; Clostridia; Eubacteriales; Clostridiaceae.